UACGUCCACAUCAAGAUGAAAUACCAAUUCCCGCCAGAUUGCCGAAGUUAAGCAAUGUCGAGCUUGGUCAGUACCUAGAUGGCAGACCGCUUGGAAAUAUGAGGUACUGCAUGC
This is a non-coding RNA of Acanthosepion pharaonis, 114 nucleotides long. NCBI's taxonomy places the organism in Eukaryota, Metazoa, Mollusca, Cephalopoda, Sepiida, Sepiidae. The record is from the annotation of a GenBank genome assembly.